Podarcis muralis (Common wall lizard) is the source of this 1162-nucleotide non-coding RNA. NCBI's taxonomy places the organism in Eukaryota, Metazoa, Chordata, Lepidosauria, Squamata, Lacertidae. The record is from RefSeq and is a predicted model, not a curated record.
GUUGUUCUCUUUGACAUCUGGUGGGAGGGUGUUCCAUGUCCUAUGUUCUGAUAAGGAUGCGUUACUACUUUGGGAUCGACUCCCUGCUUUUACCAAUCUAGUCUCCCCGUACCAAACUAACUACUGGUACCUGUCAAUAGUUACUGUGCUGCAGCAUUUGGGAGACAUUAACUGUUCCUCCCUAACAGGAAAUUAAGAGCCCCUCUCCUCGGCUGCCAGGAUGGCAUUCGCGGGGGUUUAACUCAAAGUCCUGAGCAUGAGCCACACAAAUCCCUCCGAGCAGGGCCAACUGAGAAUAGAUAAGAAAUCAGGAGUUUUCUUGCAUGUUCUAUAUUUCAGAGCUGCAGGAGUGACACAAUAAUUAAGGAAAUUUAGAAGAAAAUAAUAGCCUUCCAAGAGAAGCUACCAGAUCAGAACACAAGAGAAGUGUUUGUUUUAAACUUCUGUUUCACUGUGAUACUUCAGUCUUUGUGAUACAUAAUUUUUAAUGUAUAGGGAUAGCUGUGGUGAGAGAGGAGUGGAAGACUAUAAACAGCAAUUGAAUUUUUUUUUCUGGGAAAGGAGCUCAGAUUGAGGGGGAGGAUGUGUCAGAGAUUAGUUGGUUCUUUGUGAGAUGGAUGAUUGUUCAGACAGCUAAUGGGGGGGUGUGAGCUUGUGUAAGCUGCCUUCAGGCAGUAUUAGGAAGGUGUUGAAAUAAUUGAGGUUCUUCUGAGUGGUUUACAGAGAAAUUAAUUAAUUAGAGCAAAUUUCAGGCAUGCAGUCUUUGUUUGCCUGGGUCAUUCUCUUCAGGGGUGUUACAUAAUAUUCCAUUCCAAAGUAUUAUUGUAGUUCCCUUCCUUCUAGAUUUUUUUUAAAAUUAUAUUUUAUUAAGGUGAUUUCAGUUAAAAGAAAUAAAGUGAUACAGAAAAAAAGAAGGGAACAUGAGAGGGAGAAGAACAACAACACAGUUACACAUAAAAGCGAAAAUAUGCAAAAAAAAAGAAGCAAUAUACAAUAUUCCCAUACAUUCUUGUAUAAAUUGGUAUAGUGUUAUUGUCCUAGUGAUUAUGUAAAUGUUAAUAGCCUACUACAUUUUGUAUGAACUCAUUCCAAAUGUUAUCAUAUUUAUCCAUUCAGUGUCUGUGCCUAUAAACAGUCCAUUCAUAAAUUACCAGUGACAUCA